This 566-nucleotide ribosomal RNA is filed under the name Amphisphaeriaceae sp. JS17. RNAcentral's name for it is "eukaryotic LSU rRNA". The stretch from base 195 to 348 matches the Rfam family "5.8S ribosomal RNA". Lineage: Eukaryota; Fungi; Ascomycota; Sordariomycetes; Amphisphaeriales; Amphisphaeriaceae. The record is from RNAcentral.
GGGGGCUUGGAGUUUCUAACUCCCACCCAUGUGACUUACCUUUGUUGCCUCGGUGGAGGAGCUUGAGGUGGCCUACCCUGUAACGAGUUACCCUGUAACGACUUACCCGGGAACGGCCCCCCAGGACCAACCACCGGCGGACACUAAACUCUUGUUAUUUUAUGUAAUCUGAGCGUCUUAUUUUAAUAAGUCAAAACUUUCAACAACGGAUCUCUUGGUUCUGGCAUCGAUGAAGAACGCAGCGAAAUGCGAUAAGUAAUGUGAAUUGCAGAAUUCAGUGAAUCAUCGAAUCUUUGAACGCACAUUGCGCCCAUUAGUAUUCUAGUGGGCAUGCCUGUUCGAGCGUCAUUUCAACCCUUAAGCCUAGCUUAGUGUUGGGAAUUUACAGUUAAAUGUAAUUCCUGAAAUACAACGGCGGAUCUGUGGUAUCCUCUGAGCGUAGUAAAUUAUUUCUCGCUUUUGUCAGGUGCUGCAGCUCCCAGCCGCUAAACCCCCAAUUUUUUGUGGUUGACCUCGGAUCAGGUAGGAAUACCCGCUGAACUUAAGCAUAUCAAUAAGCGGAGGAA